RNAcentral lists this ribosomal RNA (253 nucleotides) under uncultured bacterium. Its description in RNAcentral is "partial 16S ribosomal RNA". It matches the Rfam family "Bacterial small subunit ribosomal RNA", at positions 524 to 776 of the family's 1533-position model. The record is from RNAcentral.
UACGUAGGGGGCAAGCGUUGUCCGGAAUUAUUGGGCGUAAAGAGCGCGUAGGCGGUCCGAUAAGUCGGCUGUGAAAGUCAGGGGCUCAACCCUUGAAAGCCGGCCGAUACUGUCGGACUAGAGUCCGGAAGAGGCGAGUGGAAUUCCCGGUGUAGCGGUGAAAUGCGUAGAGAUCCGGAAGAACACCGGUGGCGAAGGCGGUCUGCUGGGCAGUUGCUGACGCUGAUGCGCGACAGCGUGGGGAGCAAACAGG